Molecule: ribosomal RNA, 561 nt
Filed under: endosymbiont of Sphenophorus levis
Lineage: Bacteria; Pseudomonadati; Pseudomonadota; Gammaproteobacteria
Description: bacterial SSU rRNA
Rfam family: Bacterial small subunit ribosomal RNA
Source: RNAcentral
AUAUACGCGUGUGUGAUGAACGUCUUAGGAUUGUAAAACACUUUCAGCAAGGGAAAAAAUUAUAUAAAUAAUACUUAUAUUAACUGAUAUUACCUGCAAAAGAAGUACCGGCUAACUCCGUGCCAGCAGCCGCGGUAAUACGGAGGGUACAAGCGUUAAUCGGAAUUAUUGGGCGUAAAGAGUACGUAGGUGGUAUAUUAAGUCAGAUGUGAAAUACUUAAGCUUAACUUAAGAACUGCAUUUGAAACUAAUAAACUAGAGUUUUAUAGAGGGGAGUAGAAUUCCAAGUGUAGCGGUGAAAUGCGUAGAUAUUUGGAGGAAUACCAGAGGCGAAGGCGACUCCCUGGGUAAUAACUGACACUGAGGUACGAAAGCUUGGGGAGCAAACAGGAUUAGAUACCCUGGUAGUCCAUGCUGUAAACGAUGUCAACUUUGAAGAUUGUAACUAUUAUUAUCUUUUAUAAUUUUCGUAGCUAACGCAUUAAAUUGACCGCUGGGGAUUACGACCGCACAGGCUAAAAACUCACAAUGAACUUCGACGGGGAACCCGCACAAGCGGUG